CCUACGGGUGGCAGCAGUGAGGAAUAUUGGUCAAUGGGCGAGAGCCUGAACCAGCCAAGUCGCGUGAAGGAUGAAGGCCCUACGGUUUGUAAACUUCUUUUAUACAGGAAUAAAGUGAGGCACGUGUUCCUUUUUGUAUGUACCUUAUGAAUAAGCAUCGGCUAACUCCGUGCCAGCAGCCGCGGUAAUACGGAGGAUGCGAGCGUUAUCCGGAUUUCUUGGGUUUAAAGGGUGCGUAGGUGGUUUGUUAAGUCAGCGGUGAAAGUUUGGGGCUCAACCAUAAAAUUGCCGUUGAUACUGGCUGACUUGAGUAUAUGUGAGGUAGGCGGAAUGCGUGGUGUAGCGGUGAAAUGCAUAGAUAUCACGAAGAACUCCGAUUGCGAAGGCAGCAUACUAAACUAUAACUGACACUGAGGCACGAAAGCGUGGGGAUCAAACAGGAUUAGAUACCCUUGUAGUC
This 460-nucleotide ribosomal RNA is filed under the name uncultured bacterium. RNAcentral describes it as "partial 16S ribosomal RNA". It matches the Rfam family "Bacterial small subunit ribosomal RNA", at positions 338 to 795 of the family's 1533-position model. The record is from RNAcentral.